GACGGAGGGGGCUAGCGUUGUUCGGAAUUACUGGGCGUAAAGGGCGCGUAGGCGGAUUAGUAAGUUGGAAGUGAAAGCCCGGGGCUUAACCUCGGAACUGCUUUCAAAACUGCUAGUCUAGAGUGAAGUAGGGGAUGAUGGAAUUCCUAGUGUAGAGGUGAAAUUCUUAGAUAUUAGGAGGGACACCGGUGGCGAAGGCGGUCAUCUGGAGUUCAACUGACGCUGAGGCGCGAAAGCGUGGGGAGCAAACAGG
This 253-nucleotide ribosomal RNA is filed under the name uncultured bacterium. RNAcentral's name for it is "partial 16S ribosomal RNA". It matches the Rfam family "Bacterial small subunit ribosomal RNA", at positions 524 to 776 of the family's 1533-position model. The record is from RNAcentral.